GUAGCUUACUUUCUCACUUCCCAAACCCUAAGUAGAAACCCUAGGGUACACAAGAAAAAACUUGCACCCACUUUUUUUUCUUUUCUCUUCUUUUCUCACGCACCAGACUUUUCUCACGCCACCCUUCUCUCAAGGAUAAGAUGUUCGCACGCCCCACCUUCUCUUCCUUUUUAAAACGGUGCAAGACUGCGUCUUUGCAGCAUUUUUACCGCGUGAAAGGAUAAAGAUAAGUGGUUGUUCACUUGAAUUCAAAUCGAAUUUGAAUUCAAAUGCCAACCAACUCAUUCUUAUCCACUCUACGCGUGAGAAGAGAGGGGCGUGGGCAUCUUUGUACGUGGAGACUUUACACGAGAAACCUUUUCUCCUGUGGAAGAAGGGGCGCACAAAAUAAAGGGUGGGCGCAGAGAUUUGUUAUCC
Molecule: long non-coding RNA, 417 nt
Filed under: Elaeis guineensis (African oil palm)
Lineage: Eukaryota; Viridiplantae; Streptophyta; Magnoliopsida; Arecales; Arecaceae
Description: long non-coding RNA (EGUI_LNC057700)
Source: RNAcentral